UCCUACGGGGGNGCAGCAGUGGGGAAUAUUGGACAAUGGGCGAAAGCCUGAUCCAGCCAUGCCGCGUGUGUGAAGAAGGUCUUCGGAUUGUAAAGCACUUUAAGUUGGGAGGAAGGGCAGUAAAUUAAUACUUUGCUGUUUUGACGUUACCGACAGAAUAAGCACCGGCUAACUCUGUGCCAGCAGCCGCGGUAAUACAGAGGGUGCAAGCGUUAAUCGGAAUUACUGGGCGUAAAGCGCGCGUAGGUGGUUUGUUAAGUUGGAUGUGAAAUCCCCGGGCUCAACCUGGGAACUGCAUUCAAAACUGACAAGCUAGAGUAUGGUAGAGGGUGGUGGAAUUUCCUGUGUAGCGGUGAAAUGCGUAGAUAUAGGAAGGAACACCAGUGGCGAAGGCGACCACCNGGACUGAUACNGACACU
This 419-nucleotide ribosomal RNA is filed under the name Pseudomonas sp. 8R6. Its description in RNAcentral is "bacterial SSU rRNA". It matches the Rfam family "Bacterial small subunit ribosomal RNA", at positions 337 to 747 of the family's 1533-position model. The record is from RNAcentral. Lineage: Bacteria; Pseudomonadati; Pseudomonadota; Gammaproteobacteria; Pseudomonadales; Pseudomonadaceae.